CGAAAGGAAUAACGCUUGAAAUAGUAAGGAAAACGCAAACUAGCGAAAUAAGAAUGUUAAAAACAUUAAGAUAAAGAACCCGGGUAACGGGUCGUAAGGAAGUAUAGGUAAGAACCGAGUAACGGUAAACGUAGGACAAACCGACGUGUAAAUGACGUUAGAAGUCAUAGAGUCGGAAGGAUAAUUCAGAAGAAAACAAAUAUAGCCUUAGACUACGGUCAAGGUCCAUAGAAUUCAAGAACGAAAACGAAUGAUUUCUAAACUUAAAAAGGGUGCAUUGACACCGAAAGUAUAUUUUAGAACGAGAUGAGUAAAAGAUGAAUCUACCGGAUCAUCACAACCUUCAGGAAUUAUAAGUAAUGAUAAGGUCUACGAGAGCAGAAAGACCCUUGGGUCACAAAUAGAAAGAAACAAACUGUUUGAGUCUCACCUAGCCUAUGAGCCUAAGUAAAAGAGAGCCCACGAGUCAAUAAUGUAAAGCAAGGAAACUGGUUGUAACUCCCCGUGUAAAAUAAUAACGGGAGGUAAGGUUAGUAUAGAAGCGAUGGGUUUCGCUAAGUUAAUUAAAUGAGUUUAAAUGAAGAGAUCAUGAAGGGUCUGGUUGACAAAAAUGAAGAUUUUCGAUAUUGAAAAGUUUUAUAUAAACUUAAACAUGACGUGAAGCGAUCACGGUUAAGAAAAGUAAUAUGGAAUAUAAUCACGUUAUAGGGUGAACUAUGAAUUGGGGAUAAUAGAAGUUUGUAAGACUUAAGAAGGCAAAGUGGAUAUACCCAGGCAAUGGGGUAUAAGGUAACCAGUGACUAAUAAGUCUAACCACCAAGACGAGCAAUCAAUAAAGAUAAAGGAUAAGAGCCGAAGGUAACCGCCCAUGAGGCCUUACAUGUAAAAGGCGCAUACGCUUAGAAACCAAAAAGACGUUACUAUAAUUCCCUAGUAAGAUUAGUGAACGCGAGCAAUCCCAAAGUAAAUCGCCAAAAUCAGGUUCAUUAACUUUAACCCAUUGAAUUACGUGAUAAAGGUUUCGAGGACGAAACCUCUUUAAGGGGGUAGACUUGUAACACCCCGAAAAUAUAAAUAUUAUAUUGUAAACUAAACAUCGGUAAUAGUCACGAUAAAAUAACUAGGAAUAAAUAACCUAGUUAGUUAGUGUCUUGACAUAAUAGAACAAACAUGGUUAAAAUACCCUUUACAAAACUUGAAUAAGUAAAGGGGCUAAUGUUGAACAAAAGUUAAAAUGGGUUUUAUUUAUUAAAAAACAAAACACCAAAAACACACACUAAAGUGUGUGUUCUGGUCAUGUAAAUCACAGGAACCAAAAGAGCUCUCAAAAACCCAAACCCUAGCUUACAGAAUUGAUCAAAUCAAGAAGGCAAAUCAAGUUCAAAUCAAAAACCAAGCUCAAACUAGUGAUCACUCAAGUGAGGGGAUCACAAGGUAAUGCUCGUUUCAUUGUGGAUGUCGAUCAAGCAAGGAAAUCAAGAACCGAACACAAGUUUUGAAUGCUUCCGUGAUAAUCUAAUCUAGUUCAAACCAUGUUGUUUUGUAAACACUUCUAAACGUUGAAUAUUUUAAUCUAGUUAGUUGACUAUGUUCAAAUGCUAUAAUGAAGUACAUCUUAGUUUAUUAACUAAGUUUUUGUUAA
Helianthus annuus (common sunflower) is the source of this 1642-nucleotide long non-coding RNA. RefSeq lists it as uncharacterized. The record is from RefSeq and is a predicted model, not a curated record. The transcript is spliced from 2 exons. NCBI's taxonomy places the organism in Eukaryota, Viridiplantae, Streptophyta, Magnoliopsida, Asterales, Asteraceae.